AUGAGUAAAUGGCGAAAACCAUAUAAUUAUAACAUAUAUUUUUAUUUUACUUAUUUUAGGUCUGUGAAGCCAAACUUGAUGCUGGGGAUUUAUUUUUGUCAGUGGAGUCAAAUGGUCUAGAUGAUCA
RNAcentral lists this long non-coding RNA (127 nucleotides) under Oreochromis niloticus (Nile tilapia). RNAcentral's name for it is "lncRNA (ENSONIG00000042824.1)". Lineage: Eukaryota; Metazoa; Chordata; Actinopteri; Cichliformes; Cichlidae. The record is from RNAcentral.